Molecule: RNA transcript, 2575 nt
Organism: Phodopus roborovskii (desert hamster)
Lineage: Eukaryota; Metazoa; Chordata; Mammalia; Rodentia; Cricetidae
Gene: Nptn
Gene name: neuroplastin
Exons: 10
Source: RefSeq, a predicted model, not a curated record
GCGAGGCUUGGGCGCUGCGGCGGUAGGAGGAGGACGGGGAAGGACGGAGCUCGGCCGAGGCGGCCUCCCUCACUCACUCCCUCGCGCGCUCGCCCGCCCCCUCCCUCCCUCCCCUCCCUUCCCUGGCCCCGGCCCCGGCCCAUUCGCUGCGCGCUCUCCGGCUAGGGAGGAUGUCGGGCUCUUCGCUCCCCAGCGCCCUGGCCCUCUCGCUCUUGCUGGUCUCUGGCUCGCUCCUCCCAGGGCCAGGUGCUGCUCAGAACGCUGGGUUUGUCAAGUCGCCCAUGUCAGAAACUAAGCUCACGGGGGACGCCUUUGAGCUGUACUGUGACGUGGUCGGGAGCCCCACGCCAGAGAUCCAGUGGUGGUACGCAGAAGUCAACCGGGCAGAGUCUUUCAGACAGCUGUGGGACGGUGCUCGGAAGCGCCGUGUCACCGUAAACACCGCCUACGGGUCAAACGGCGUGAGUGUGCUGAGAAUAACCCGGCUCACCUUGGAGGACUCUGGGACUUACGAGUGCAGGGCCAGCAACGACCCCAAGAGGAAUGACUUGAGGCAAAACCCUUCCAUAACAUGGAUUCGAGCCCAGGCCACCAUAAGCGUCCUUCAGAAGCCAAGAAUUGUCACCAGUGAAGAGGUCAUUAUUCGAGACAGCCUUCCUGUUACCCUGCAGUGUAACCUCACUUCCAGCUCUCAUACUCUUAUGCACAGCUACUGGACAAGGAAUGGGGUAGAACUCACUGCCACUCGUAAGAAUGCCAGCAACAUGGAAUACAGGAUCAAUAAGCCAAGAGCUGAGGAUUCAGGCGAAUACCACUGUGUAUAUCACUUUGUCAGCGCUCCUAAAGCAAAUGCCACCAUUGAAGUGAAAGCGGCUCCUGAUAUCACUGGCCAUAAACGGAGUGAAAACAAAAAUGAAGGGCAAGAUGCUAUGAUGUACUGCAAAUCAGUUGGUUACCCCCACCCAGAAUGGAUAUGGCGCAAGAAGGAAAAUGGUGUGUUUCAGGACAUUUCCAAUAACUCUGGUCGAUUCUUCAUCAUCAACAAGGAGAAUUACACUGAAUUGAAUAUUAUGAAUCUCCAGAUCACAGAAGAUCCUGGCGAGUAUGAAUGUAAUGCCACCAACUCCAUUGGCUCUGCCUCCGUUUUCACCGUCCUCAGGGUACGGAGCCACCUUGCCCCACUUUGGCCUUUCUUGGGAAUUCUGGCUGAAAUCAUCAUCCUUGUGGUGAUCAUUGUUGUGUAUGAGAAGAGGAAGAGGCCAGAUGAGGUUCCUGAUGGUGUUCUCCAAACCCUAGGCCUUGUCCUUCAGGCCAUGUGGUGAAUGGGCAGCUGUCAAACUCUUUGUUCAGCUGUGUCCUCCUUCAAUACAGAUCAUCAGGCAGAUUGAGCUUGAGGAGAAUCCAAGUCAAGCCUAGAAGCCACCCCAAGAUCACAGGCCACCUGUCCUUUCAGGCAGAUUUAAGAUGAUGAACCAGCCGGGCCAAUGAAAACCAACUCUACCAACAAUCACAAAGAUAAAAACUUGCGCCAGAGAAACACAAAUUAAGUACACUGCUUAUAAUCUCUUUAGGUUCCUGAAAACGGUGGCAACACGACCCGCUAAAUUUUCUGCUUGGACCUCUUUGGUCUCUCCCUUUCAAGUGAGCAACACCACAAUGACCGUCUAAAGCAUGCCUUAUUUAGCCUCUCCUAUAAGGGUGACCUAGCCAGGUACAUUUUAAACAAUGCUUCAGUGUAGAAGGUGUAAACUAUUUUGGGCUUGAUGUGCUGUGAAUGUUGCUUCCUUUCCCUUUGUUAAAAUAUUUAAAUAGAAAUGAAAAGGUCCUCUGAGGAUCAGGUCAUGCAUGCGCCAUUUUUUAUGCAGCUGUUAAAUUGGCAAAGCUCUAAAUGCACUGCUGCCAUCUAGUGACCAUUUUGUAAAGUACAGCAAAACCUACAGAUAUAUACAGUAUAUAAAUAUACAUAUAUAUUUAUAUUUUUGGGGGUGGGAGAAAUCCAAAAUAAAGUAAAUGCUUGUUUCAUUUUUAAGCUGCUGAUACCCAUUCCUUAUUGUCUGUUGUCAGAUCAGGAAGCUGCAGUUCUGUCUGGUACAUAAAGAUGAGAAUAUAAACUUAAGUCUGUCAUUCUAAGGGCUUACCCUAUAACUUUUAAGAACCUGGAACAGUCCACUGAACGGCUAUAAUGAAUUGCAGUAUAUAUAUGUAUGAUUGCUUUUUAAGUGACUACUUUCCUUUUGUCAAAUCAUGUAAAUUCUGAAAUCUUUUGCACCGAUGUGUUGAACCUUAUUCUUGUACAUUCAAUCAAGGCAACUUUUAUAAUUUCCCUUUUGUUUUCAAUGACCCUGAAAUGUCAAUAGCAUGGUGAUAUUCUAUGCAACUCUAGUUAUACUUUUUGGUUUGACACUGUAUUUUUCACAUUGAUUUAAUGAUUGAUGAUCAAUUUUAUAACCUGACUGGGUUCUCAUGCGGUACUAACUGUAGAUGCAUGUACUUGUGUUCUGUGUAAUUAUUGAAGUGCAAUGGUGUACAAAAAAAGUGGAUUCACCUCUUUUUAACAAUAAAACAUUGAUAAAAG